GUGAAUCAUCAAAUUUUUGAACGCAAAUUGCACUCUCUUCGGAGAGGAUGCCUGUUUGAGGGUCAGUAUUAUUAAAAAUAGGUGUGUUGCUUCUCUGUGACGCUCUGGAGUUUGGGUCAUCUUAAUAUCGUGUAGGUCUUAAGAGGCUUACAAUUGCCUUUUUUUGCGCAUUUUAGUAGUUCAUAAAUUCUUGUUUUUAUUCGUCUGUUUUUAUGCU
This 217-nucleotide unclassified non-coding RNA is filed under the name Glomeromycetes sp. Its description in RNAcentral is "partial contains 5.8S ribosomal RNA and internal transcribed spacer 2". The stretch from base 1 to 65 matches the Rfam family "5.8S ribosomal RNA", at positions 84 to 154 of the family's 154-position model. The record is from RNAcentral. Lineage: Eukaryota; Fungi; Glomeromycota; Glomeromycetes.